Molecule: long non-coding RNA, 1261 nt
Organism: Oxyura jamaicensis (ruddy duck)
Lineage: Eukaryota; Metazoa; Chordata; Aves; Anseriformes; Anatidae
Exons: 2
Source: RefSeq, a predicted model, not a curated record
GCUCAGAUGGGUGUUGUGGUGCAGUGCUGGCGUUCUUACAAAGGUGCAGCAGGCGUGAGGAAUUAGAGGCAAUCCUCCCCCCAGCACCAGGGAGCUGGAUGUCUGCACUGGGCUUUUGCAGGCUCUGCUCCAAACCUGGCUAUCGCCACUGCACCGUGACUGCUCCCCUCCCGAUAGCAGCCGCGUGCUGGGGACACUUGGUGACAGUGAAAACCCCAAGCCAGGAAACGUGCCUGGUGGCGUUCUCUGAGGGAUAAAACGGGGACUUUGAGGAGUACAAGCAGAGUUACAGAGGUGCGAGCCUAAAUACCAGACCCUGAGCUCCGCUUGUCUCUUUUGUGGAGGUUUUCUAGCGAGCAGCUCCUGGCAGUCCUCGUCCUUUGUAGCUCCUGGCAGCACGCUGUGAGGCUGUGGGAGGUUAAUUAGGGAGCCAGGCAGAGCUCAGGCUUCCACUCACAAGCUUCCAGUGACUCAGGGCUUUUCUCCAUUAAAGCUAACCUGUUUACAAGCCUGCCUUCUAUUUAUCUAACGAAGAUAAUUGUUUUCCUCCAAAAUGCUGUGAUGUCCUUGUGCUGAGGCAGUGCUCCUGAAGGUGGGUUGUUACUGGGUUCCUUUACCCCAUCCCCAGAACACCAAAAGCAAAGCUCGGGGCCCGCAGGAUGACGGAUAAGAUCUGAGCUUUCCACGUUUUCCGAGCCCAUGGACAAAUGAACAAACCCCACCAGGAGACGGGCUGCCAGCGCGUGAUGAAUAGGACGGCCGACGGGCGCACGUGAGGAGCUCAAACAAACCUCAGCCCCCGGGGCUUCGUGCCGCAGGACAACUACUGCUGACAAAACAGGUAGGAGAAAAGAGCUGCCAAGAAGUGGAGUGACCGGAGUCUGUCCGUUUGCUUAUUUAAUGCUGUGAAGGGUGGAAGAGAUGGUAGUUUAACCUCACUCUUUGUUUAGGAUUUAGGAGGGCUGUAUUUUGUGGUUAAAGGGCAGGUUUUGUUAUUAAAACCUUCUUUCAAUCACCAAGACCUUCACUAUUUGCCAUGCGAAAUUAAAUAUCUUUUAUUAGCAAUAAAUGUAAUAUAUGCAUAGUUAUAAAUUGCGUCCCUACCCUUUGCUAAUCAACAGGAAGACAGGCUGUGUCAAUUUAGAACAGUCUAUUCAUUGCGAACUCUGCAGACAAAGCUAUAAAUAAGUAUGGAGGUGGAUCCUAUCUUAGUCUAGUUAUUUAUGUAAUAAAAACACGAGUGGUUGUGGUGCACAAAACA